This 207-nucleotide ribosomal RNA is filed under the name uncultured bacterium. RNAcentral's name for it is "partial 16S ribosomal RNA". It matches the Rfam family "Bacterial small subunit ribosomal RNA", at positions 1287 to 1500 of the family's 1533-position model. The record is from RNAcentral.
CUCAGUUCGGAUCGAAGUCUGCAACCCGACUUCGUGAAGCUGGAUUCGCUAGUAAUCGCGCAUCAGCCACGGCGCGGUGAAUACGUUCCCGGGCCUUGUACACACCGCCCGUCAAGCCAUGGGAGCCGGGGGUGCCUGAAGUUCGUUACCGCAAGGAUCGACCUAGGGCAAAACUGGUGACGUGGGGCUAAGUCGUAACAAGGUAGC